This 454-nucleotide ribosomal RNA is filed under the name uncultured bacterium. RNAcentral's name for it is "bacterial SSU rRNA". It matches the Rfam family "Bacterial small subunit ribosomal RNA", at positions 37 to 507 of the family's 1533-position model. The record is from RNAcentral.
UGGCGGCGUGCCUAACACAUGCAAGUCGAACGGGGUGAUUUCCUUCGGGAGAUCGCUUAGUGGCGAACGGGUGAGUAACGCGUGAGAAACCUGCCUUUCAGUGGGGGACAACAGUUGGAAACGACUGCUAAUACCGCAUAACAUAUUCGGACCGCAUGAUCUGAAUAUCAAAGCUUUAUGUGCUGGAAGAUGGCCUCGCGUCUGAUUAGCUAGUUGGUGGGGUAACGGCUUACCAAGGCGACGAUCAGUAGCCGACCUGAGAGGGUGAACGGCCACAUUGGGACUGAGACACGGCCCAAACUCCUACGGGAGGCAGCAGUGGGGAAUAUUGCACAAUGGGGGAAACCCUGAUGCAGCGACGCCGCGUGAGUGAAGAAGUAUUUCGGUAUGUAAAGCUCUAUCAGCAGGGAAGAAAAUGACGGUACCUGACUAAGAAGCCCCGGCUAACUACGUG